GUCGAUGGCCGUGCUAUCCUGAACAAGCCCAAUCCUAUCUGAUCUUGGAAGCUAAGCAGGGUUGGGCCUGGUUAGUACUUGGAUGGGAUACCAUCUAGGAAAACCAGAUGCUGUAGGCC
Molecule: ribosomal RNA, 119 nt
Filed under: Pteropus alecto (black flying fox)
Lineage: Eukaryota; Metazoa; Chordata; Mammalia; Chiroptera; Pteropodidae
Source: RNAcentral